CAAGUAGGCGGUUUAGUAAGUGAGGGGUGAAAUCUCCCGACUCAAUCGGGAAAUUGCCUUUCAAACUGCUAGACUUGAGAAUGGAAGGGGGAAACGGAAUUAGCGGUGUAAGGGUGAAAUCUGUAGAUAUCGCUAAGAACACCGGUGGCGAAGGCGGUUUCCUGGUCCAUUUCUGACGCUGAUCUGCGAAAGCUAGGGGAGCAAACAGGAUUAGAUACCCUGGUAGUCC
Molecule: ribosomal RNA, 229 nt
Filed under: uncultured bacterium
Lineage: Bacteria
Description: partial 16S ribosomal RNA
Rfam family: Bacterial small subunit ribosomal RNA
Source: RNAcentral